This 372-nucleotide ribosomal RNA is filed under the name uncultured organism. RNAcentral describes it as "bacterial SSU rRNA". It matches the Rfam family "Bacterial small subunit ribosomal RNA", at positions 526 to 896 of the family's 1533-position model. The record is from RNAcentral.
CGUAGGAGGCGAGCGUUAUCCGGAUUCACUGGGCGUAAAGCGCGUGCGGGUGGCGCGGUAAGUUGGGCGUGAAAUCUCCCGGCUCAACUGGGAGAGGUCGUCCAAUACUACCGUGCUUGAGAGCAGAAGAGGAAGAUGGAAUUCCCGGUGUAGUGGUGAAAUGCGUAGAUAUCGGGAGGGACACCAGUGGCGAAGGCGAUCUUCUGGUCUGUUUCUGACACUCAGACGCGACAGCUAGGGUAGUAAACGGGAUUAGAGACCCCGGUAAUCCUAGCCGUAAACGAUGUGAACUUGGCGUUGGUGGGUUAAACUCCAUCAGUGCCGUAGCAAACGCGAUAAGUUCACCGCCUGGGGACUACGGCCGCAAGGUUA